AUUGAACGCUGGCGGCAGGCCUAACACAUGCAAGUCGAGCGGAUGAAGGCAGCUUGCUCCUGGAUUCAGCGGCGGACGGGUGUGUAAUGCCUAGGAAUCUGCCUGGUAGUGGGGGAUAACGUCCGGAAACGGGCGCUAAUACCGCAUACGUCCUGAGGGAGCAAGUGGGGGAUCUUCGGACCUCACGCUAUCAGAUGAGCCUAGGUCGGAUUAGCUAGUUGGUGGGGUAAAGGCCUACCAAGGCGACGAUCCGUAACUGGUCUGAGAGGAUGAUCAGUCACACUGGAACUGAGACACGGUCCAGACUCCUACGAGAGGCAGCAGUGGGGAAUAUUGGACAAUGGGCGAAAGCCUGAUCCAGCCAUGCCGCGUGUGUGAAGAAGGUCUUCGGAUUGUAAAGCACUUUAAGUUGGGAGGAAGGGCAGUAAGUUAAUACCUUGCUGUUUUGACGUUACCAACAGAAUAAGCACCGGCUAACUUCGUG
Molecule: ribosomal RNA, 484 nt
Filed under: uncultured bacterium
Lineage: Bacteria
Description: partial 16S ribosomal RNA
Rfam family: Bacterial small subunit ribosomal RNA
Source: RNAcentral